Molecule: long non-coding RNA, 3677 nt
Organism: Homo sapiens (human)
Lineage: Eukaryota; Metazoa; Chordata; Mammalia; Primates; Hominidae
Product: SLAM family member 5
Exons: 6
Source: RefSeq, a predicted model, not a curated record
CCACACAGCCGCCUGCAACAAGUAAAUGCUGAUAUUUGCAUUGGAGAUGUGGGGAGUUAACACUCUCCACAGGAGAUCUGUUCUUUUGCUUACAGCUUCUUACUUAGGCAACUGAGAAUUGAAGUUUUUGAAAAAUCAAAACAGAAAUUUAACUUAUUAUGUGAGGUAGGGACAAAGUAAAGUCAUCAAGUUCAGGAAGGGCAUAGCCCAGCCUUGCUGUAAGAGGGUGACUUCUGUGCCUGACCAUAGGCUGACACUGGUGACCACGGCCACCUGGGGCAGAGCUGUGAACCCAGAGAAGCAGCUGAACAGGCCAGCAGGCAACCUGCCAUGGGGUCCUGCUCCAAGAACCGGUCCUUCUUCUGGAUGACUGGGCUCCUGGUAUUCAUCAGCCUCCUCCUCAGUGUCUGCAGAACUGCAGCCAACACUUCUGGAGCACAUGGCUCUGCAGGGAAGGAUUCUGGAGCCCCCAUUCAUCUGAAGGGCAUCCGAGGAGGUUCUAUCUUGUUUAAUGCGAUCGAGAAGCUCAGAGUAGAUGUAGGCACCGAGUUGGAGGAGGUUCUAUGGGCUUUGGGCACUCUGACAGAUCAUACACAGUUGCUGCGAGUCCGCAGUGGGGCCGACUCUCCAACCUGGUUGAAACUCCAGGACAAGUUCAAGCAGAGGGUCCAUGUACCCAGCAUGUCAUCCCUGAGGAUUGAGAACCUGGCCCCUGAAGACAGUGGGCAGUACUUUGCCAACAUCACCUCUACUAAGGGAGAGGGGAUUUUCCAGGUUUUCUACCUCACUGUCUAUGAGCCUGUGCCUCACCCUGAGUUCCUGGCAAAGUCACUGUCUAUCACACCAGACCUGUGUAACGUCACCCUGGAGUGUAGGGCUCCAGGGGCCACAGAGGACCUGAAUGUGACUUGGGAGAGCAAGGGCCUCCUCAGAGAGCUGGAGCAGAGAGAAACACCAGGACCAGCCCCCAACCCCUGGACACUGGCUGUGAACCUGCCCCUGUGCCAGUGCAACACCCACCUCACCUGUGUGGUCAGCAACCAGGUGGAUCAGAAAGCUGCAGUCUUAGACCUUAGGAAACUCUGUGUCCAAGAAACAGGUUCACACAACAUGGUUAGACUGCUCCCAGGCAUCCUAGGGGCUGUUGUGGGUAUGCUGUUGGUCCUGGGAACUGGGCUGUAUCUUUUGAAGACAUGUGGGAAGAAGAAGAAGAAGAUGAUGAAUAUAGGAAGAGGCAAGUUGAAUUUCUCCUUCCAUACCCAGACACCUCCACUCCCUCACUAGAACCCCAGCUUCCUUUCUCCUGAAUUUUUCUUCCAGGGAGUGGACUCUGCAGAGGGAUGGUGGGUGUGACCUUGGCCUUGGGGUUCGUGGCAGUGGGGAGGGAUACAGGUUUCUAUGGCACAGAUUCAAGCUUUGAUUUUCUCAGGUAGAGAAUUGCAGGAGAACCAUGGGGUCGAUGAUGGUGUCAACCAAUAUGAAGAUCUCAGGCAGCAAGUGUUUCCGAAGGGCAAGGACAAGGGCAUCGGUGAACAAUAUCUGGAAAAAAGGGAGUCUCUCACUCCUAUCUACAGUGAGGUUCAUUAUCAUUGUCCAGGCCAGGCCAUUAAGAUCAUUCGAUUGGAGGAAGCAACAGGAUCUGGCACUCCCAGGACACCUGUACUCUGAGCCUGAAGCCUGCAGAUCCCCGCCUUUCCCAGUGCUGGUUCAGUUUCCGCUGCCCCUAGUCUGUGUUACUCUGAUCUCAUAGCUACAGUUCUACAGUGUACCCAUGGCCUGUUCGCAUUCUGUGACACCUCCCAAAGAUGCACUUACACUUGGGCAAAGAUUCUUCCCUUGUCAUUGACAUUGCUCCUGACCCCUCUCUUUCAGAAGCCUUCCCAAGGGGACCCUGUCUGAUUGCACAGGUGGCAAAUCCCCACCACCUCUGCCAUGUCACUUGUGUGUGUAAUUCUGAGGACACAAGCCCAGACAUGGGAACUGUGCAGAGGUGUUGACUGUGCUGCAGAGGAGGGACAUAGACCUGGCUUCUGGAUGCUGAGUUGGAGGAUAUCGUGGGUGGGUAGAAGCCCACAAAGGAACACGCCGAGGCUUCCUUUGCAGAUUUUGUGUAGGGCUCCCUUGCGGGUAUCAGGCAGUGCGUGUGUGCAUGCAGGUUGGUGGUGGAGGGGGGUGUCUAGUGCACAUUAUACAACUGAACCAAAGCCACCUUUCUUUUCUUCUGUGCUAAUCUGAACUUAAUCUUCAGCCUCAGCCUGUGGAUCCAAACUCAACUUCCUGUAGAGUGGAAAGAGAAAUUUUUAUCAUCUCAAAACCUUCCUAGCCUCAGUGUCUCAGAGAAUGACCCUAAGAGGCCACAGUUGGAGGCUGUCUUAGGAACACAGCCUCAGCUCUUUCCUUGGCCUAGUAUAAGGCACUUGGCUGUAAGAACAGAAGUGUGAUAUCCUUCCACACCCACUUGAUGAGGGCUACUUGGGCUCUGAUGGGUGAAGCUGUUGAGAAGGUCUGACUCAGCCCUCUCCAACCUCUUCUUAUUCUGACCCUUAAUACCCCAGUAGCCAUGCUGGCCCCAAACCCUAGGUCAUCCACUUCUUUGCUCACUUGCAUCCCUCUGCCUGACAUGAAAGUUCCUUCUCCCUGUUCCUCACCCUCACUCCCGCCUGUUGAAAUACUACUGUGCUUCUCAAAGCUCUUCCCAAGAUGCUUGUUCCAUGGAGCUCUCUGGAUCUUAAAGGUUUAGACAUGAUCUCUCCCACAACUGACUUUUCUGAACACCUUGGACACUAUGUACGGUCCCUGCCACAGUUUGUCCUGGGAUGGUCAUGAGUCUUCCUGCAGGACUAACCUGGGCUCUCUCAGGAGGAUGUGGGGCUGUGGGGUAAUAGGGCUGAGGAGACCAUUGGUGCAAAUGGUCUGGGCCACCUUGUUCCCAACCCAUGGGGUCAGCAGAGGGAGAUGCAGCACAGGGGCUACUGACAAACUCUCUGGUGUGGCUCUACCUGGAAACAGGGAUGGACACAAUGACCUCCCUUGACUAUGCGUGGCCUGAGGUCCUAAUUGGAGACUUCCUUACUCCCUCAUCCACCUCUUAUUGCGAACCUGGCCAUUCUUCCAUCAUGGUAUGUGGGUGUUUCUUUCCUCCUGAGGGGUCCUCAGCUUCUUGCAGCCUCUGCUUCUUAUUUGAGUCCCAGCUUUUAUGCAGAGAUGACCUAACUCUAGUACCAUGAGCUGCUGUGGCAUGUCUGGUGGCCUAGACCCUUGGGCCUCUUAGUUUCCCUCAUGGCUCAGGUGAGCUCAUUUCCUCAUUGCCACCCACAGAAAACAAAGAUCUGAACAGAGUCCCUGCUAAGAGAUGGAGCACUAGAAAAUAGUGCUAGGUGCCUGCUGGAUGGUGGGUGGGUGAGGCAGGAGGGAGAGGAUCCAUAGCAGGGCUUCAUUUCUGCCGUCUUUCCCUUUAGGCUGAGCUGAAGGCCGAGGGUGUGCCAGUCUCUUCACUGGCUUCCCAGGUGACUGGACAUUACUGGGUAUCAGUGCACAUUAACCCUGGGGCAGCAUAAGAUGUGAUCACCCAACUAACUGACCUUCCCACUGCACCAAAGGCAACAAAAAACCAAACCAAACAAACAAAAAAGAGGAACAAGGCUUUUGAGGCUGUUUUGAACCAGUUUUUGUCCCAG